UUCUCAGUUCGGAUCGGAGUCUGCAACCCGACUCCGUGAAGCUGGAUUCGCUAGUAAUCGCGCAUCAGCCAUGGCGCGGUGAAUACGUUCCCGGGCCUUGUACACACCGCCCGUCAAGCCAUGGAAGCCGGGGGCGCUUGAAGUGCGUUGCCGCAAGGCGCGCCCUAGAGCGAAACCGGUGACUGGGGCUAAGUCGUAACAAGGUACC
This 208-nucleotide ribosomal RNA is filed under the name uncultured bacterium. RNAcentral describes it as "partial 16S ribosomal RNA". It matches the Rfam family "Bacterial small subunit ribosomal RNA", at positions 1285 to 1500 of the family's 1533-position model. The record is from RNAcentral.